This 474-nucleotide ribosomal RNA is filed under the name uncultured Acidovorax sp. RNAcentral's name for it is "bacterial SSU rRNA". It matches the Rfam family "Bacterial small subunit ribosomal RNA", at positions 904 to 1382 of the family's 1533-position model. Lineage: Bacteria; Pseudomonadati; Pseudomonadota; Betaproteobacteria; Burkholderiales; Comamonadaceae. The record is from RNAcentral.
CAAGGAAUUGACGGGACCGCACAAGCGGUGGAUGAUGUGGUUUAAUUCGAUGCAACGCGAAAACCUUACCACCUUGACAUGUACGGAAUCCUUUAGAGAUAGAGGAGUGCUCGAAAGAGAGCCGUAACACAGGUGCUGCAUGGCUGUCGUCAGCUCGUGUCGUGAGAUGUUGGGUUAAGUCCCGCAACGAGCGCAACCCUUGUCAUUAGUUGCUACAUUCAGUUGGGCACUCUAAUGAGACUGCCGGUGACAAACCGGAGGAAGGUGGGGAUGACGUCAAGUCCUCAUGGCCCUUAUAGGUGGGGCUACACACGUCAUACAAUGGAUGGUACAAAGGGUCGCCAACCCGCGAGGGGGAGCCAAUCCCAUAAAGCCAUUCGUAGUCCGGAUCGCAGUCUGCAACUCGACUGCGUGAAGUCGGAAUCGCUAGUAAUCGUGGAUCAGAAUGUCACGGUGAAUACGUUCCCGGGUCUU